GGGGAGAGGGCCCGAGAACGGUGGCGCUUUGAUCUUGUUCUGGAUUCUCGUUAGCGUCGAGUGAGCUAGGCAGGAGGAGCUAAGGCUCCAGGCUUGCUCCGCUGCGGGGCCGACCCAGACGCCAAGCCUCUCCAGGCCGCGGGCGGGCCCAGUGCCACUUGGUGCUUCUGGGGUCUGUUGGGGACUCCGGCGUGACCUGUCUGCAUCUGUGUGGGAAGCGCGUCCAGGCCCUGUCCCCAAUCACUGAACCCUGCGAGGAGUCGCGCCCUGCAGGCCUUGGCAAUCGGGUUGUCGCAGGCAGACCCCCCCCCCCAAGACCCCCAGCCCUGGUGUUCCCCUUCUUGGUCCUCUGGGAUCUCCUCUUCUGGCAGCUUGGACCUUUUAAUUCUUGGUGUGCGGGUGUGGUUGGGACAGGCCACUAGGCAGACAACUGGGUCUAGAAAGUUGUGAGCUGUCAAGAAAGCUGUGUCAUCGGUAAGCCACAAAGAAACCACCUGAUGUCUUAGAAUGUUCCCGAAACAUAAACUUGAGCUCACAGAUGGUACUCUUUUAUCAUAGUACUCAGAGGGAACUGAGGUGCAAUAAUUACUUUAUUACAAGUUGACCUUUUUUUUUUUUAACUUUUAACAUAGUUUUUAAAGUACAUACUCAGUCCUGAUUCUUCCUCUCUUCUAACCUAAAAUGUAGUUUUCCAGACAUGUGCCAACUCAUUUACCCCAUAUUGCUCUAAAUCAGUUGGUUCCAUAGCCUCCUGUUUUAUUGCUGAAGUCUUGUAUAUCCGCAGUCAACCAUCUGCUUCUAUAGUUUUGUACAUUCUUGAUACAUGGACCAGUUUGUGUGACAACUAUUAAUCUGAAGUGACAACUAUUAAUUUCUUCAGUCACUUGUGUUCAGUAACAGUUACUCAUAAUUGACCCAUGGCUUUUAAGAGUUCUGUAACUUUGUUCAUCUCUGUGGGAAAAAAAAAAAAACUGACAUGUGAAUUUGAGCAUUUUAAAUUUUAAAUGUCUGUUUUGUUAUGCUAACUUUUCAACUUGAUGCUUGCUGUUAAUUAGAAAAGCAUAAAUUACUUAGGCUAUAUUGAAUUAUACUUUAAAUUAAAUUAAUAAAUUAAUCUUGUAAUCCAGUAAGAAUAGUAGUCACAUGAAAAUGGAAAGAACACGACAUUGAACUCAGGUUAGAAAUUGAACUCAGGUCAUCUGAAAGAGCAGCUGCUCUUAACCACUGAGCUAUCUCUCUAGCCGCAGUUUACAACAUUUUAAACUGUGUUCCACACAAAAUUUCAAUAGUUCUGGGGGGAAAGGUAGUUUUAUUGUCUUGUUUUUGUAGUUGAACCACUUAGGUCCAAAGUUGUAAGUAACUUGGGCCAGUCUCACAAAAACUGUUUGCUUGGUUUUUCUAUUCUAGGAUUUUUGGGUUUCUUGUGUGGUAUUUUAUUUGGUUUGGUUUGGUUUGGUUUUUUUUUUUUUGAGACAGGAUUUCAUAUAGCCCAGGCUGACCUUGAAAUCCUGAUUCUCUGCUCCCAAGUGUUGUGAUUACAGACGUGUGCAACACAACAGGUUAACAUUUUUACAUUUUAACAGUCAGUGUUGGGGCUGAGUGUACAGAGUCUGACUAUAACCUUGACUGGCUUUGAACUCACAGAGAUCAGUCUACCUCUUCCUCUACCUCCCAAAUACUGGGAUCAAAGGUGUGUAGGCCCUUACUUUGUAGUGUAAUGCUGGCCCCAAACUCACAGUUAUCUUUCUGCUUCAGACUCCCAACUGCUUGAAUUAUAGGUGGGUGCUACCAUAUCUGAUAUUUUUUUGGGUUUUUUGUUUGUUUUGUUUUUAAGAUUUAUUUGUUUAUGUGUGUGAGUACACUGUAGCUGUACAGAUGAUUGUGAGCCUUCAUAUGGUUGUUGGGAAAUGAAUUUUUUAGGACCUCUACUCUAGUCAGCCCUGCUCAGUCAGUCUCUGCUUGCUCCAGCCCAAAGAUUUAUUUAUUAUUAUACAUAAGUACACUGUAGCUGACUUCAGAUGCACCGGAAGAGGGGGUCAGAUCUCAUUACAGGUGGUUGUGAGCCACCACAUAGUUGCUGGGAUUUGAACUUGGACCUUUGGAAAAGCAAUCAUUGCACUUACCCGAUGAGCCAUCUCGCCAGCCCCGGGUUUGGUGGUUUUUUUUUGUUUGUUUGUUUGUUUUGGUUUGGUUUGGUUUGGUUUUUUUUGGGGGGAGGGGGGGGCGGGUUCGAGACAGGGUUUCUCUGUAUAGCCCUGGCUUUCCUGGAACUCACUCUGUAGACCAGGCUAGCCUCCAACUCAGAAAUCUGCCUGCCUCUGCCUCCGCCUCCCGAGUGCUGGGAUUAAAGGUGUUUAGUCCCAGCGCUAGGAGGCAGAGCUAGUGGAUCUCUGAGUUUGAGGCCAGCCUGAUCUAUAGAGGGAGUUAAAAGACAGCCAGGGCUACACAGAGAAACCUUGUCUCAAGAGAGGAGGAGAGGGGCUGUGUGAUGGUACUCACCAGCAUUUGUCGGGCAGAGGCAGUCAGAGAUCUAUGAGUUCAAGACCAGCCUGGUCUACUAAGUUCGAAGACAGCCAAGGCUGAACAGAGAAACCCUGUCUUAAAGAAGAAGGAAGAGAAAGGAAGAAGACAGUUAUAGGUUAUAUGGUAAAAUAAGUCAAUAAAGAAAUGAGAAUUAGGAUCAUGAUAUCCAUGUUUUUUAACAGAGUAUGCAAUUGAUGGUACCUAAACAUUCCUAAAAAACAAUAAAAGUUCCAAAAAAUUUCCCCUUUAUGGGUAGGUCUAAACCUGGGGUUUUAUUUAUGCCAGGUAGUUGCUCUACCCCACUAGUAAAUGAACUACACCCUAGUCUAAAAUACUAAAUUUGAUUAACAAAUAUCGGAAAGCUGUAGAAGUAAUUGAAGUCUUAUACUUUAUAGAGCUUUAUGCAUAUAUAUGUAUAUGUAUGUAUGUAUGUAUGUAUAUAUAUAUAUAUUCCUCAGUUAACCUUAUUGGGGUGACCUAGUAUUAUGUAUGUUUAGCAUAUCAGCAGCUAUUGAACAUUUGCAGAAAUACUGUUAGGGAUGGACAGUGGAGUCUGUCUGCUAUCCUCUUUCAAAAUGCAGAUAGCUUUUCUAGAGCUUUAGCUAGGUCAUCCUAACACAAAGUAGGAGAGGUAUUACUCUAGAAAUACAGAGACACUGAGCUCAUAGAGCAGCAGCACUCAACAGGUAGCGCCUAACAGGGAGGGAGCGCCAAUCUUUUGACAUCAGACAUGACAUUGCUGUCUACAGAGUUCACACCUUACAACUUUAAAAUCAAACUACACACACCCACCACUCUCACCAAAUCACCCCCCCACACACACACACACCACAGAAUCCUCAAGAUAUUUUAAAUAAGUUCACAGGAUUUCAUAUUGUAUAAUAGUCAUAGCUAUUCACUCAAGGCCACAGAUUAUAUAUGAGAACUUUAAAUUUUCUUUGAUAGGAGAUCCCAUCAAUAAUAUACCAACCCAUCAAUAAUAUACCAACCUUAAAAAAUUCAACUUAACCGCCAGGUGUGGUGGUGCACGCCUUUAAUCCCAGCACUCAGGAGGCAGAGGCAGGCGGAUUUCUGAGUUCGAGGCCAGCCUGGUCUACAAAGUGAGUUCCAGGACAGCCAGGACUACACAGAGAAACCCUGUCUCGAAAAACAAAAACAAAACAAAAAAAAAAUUCAACUUAAAAAAUGAAAAAGGUAUUUGUAAUUAGGAGUGGUUUCAAGGGUAUUCAAACAAGUAUUUCAGGCCCAAAACAUAGGAGAGUAAAGGGCACACACACACACACACACACACACACACACACACAAACACACACACUACAUAUAGGGGUUAGAGAAAUGCCUCAGAAGUUAAGAGCAUUUACUGUACUUGCAAAGGACCUGAAUUCUGCAUGCAUAUGGCAGGCAGCUCACAACCAUCUACUAUUUCCGGUCUAGGGAUCUAAUGCCUCUUGUGAAGACCCCACAGCCUCCUAUGCAUAUGUGAUACACACACACACACACACACAGGCCCACACACACAUAAAAUAUUUUUUAAAGAUAGUUGUUUCAGAGAAAAUGUGUAGGCAAGUCUUUAUUUCAUGAAGUCAUUUUUUUUUCCUUAAAGAUUUAUUUAUAUGAAUACACUGUAGCUGUCUUCAGACAUACCUAAAGAGGGCAUCAGAUCCCAUUGCAGAUGGUUGUGAGCCACCAUGUGGUUGCUGGGAAUUGAACUCAGGACCUCUGGAAGAGUAGUCAAUGUUCUUAACCACUGAGCCAUCUCUCCAGCCCCCAUGGAAUUGUUUCCUUUUAGUUUUUGAGAGGCUAGGUCUUGCUACUGCCCAGACUGCCCUCAAGCUCCUGGGCUCAGCCUCCCUCCCAAGUAUCUUCAGGCAUAGGCUACUGCUUCUGUAUUUUUUAAAUAUAGCUUUUAUGAAUUAAAUAAUCCGUUUAGUAAGUAAAUAAAAAUUAAAUAAUUAUAGCAUUGUAUUAGAAACUAGUGAUACUAGCCAAAUUAACAAGAAUCUCCAGUUGUAUCUGUUUAAAUUUAAAGAUGUAAAGACAGUUGUGCAAUAGUACAAAAAUCUAAGAGGAACCUGAAGCAAAGAUGUCUGUCUAGGGCUGGAGAGAUGGCUCAGAGGUUAAGAAUGCUGAUUGCUCUUUUGGAGGUCCUGAAUUCCCAGCAACCACAUGGUGGCUCUCAACCAUCUGUGAUGGGAUCCAAUGUUCUCUUCUGAUCAUUCUGAAGAUGGUGAUGGUAUACUCACUGCAUAAAAUCAGUAAAUCUUUAAAAUAAAAAAAGAUGUCUGUCAAGUCAGUGGUAUUUGCUGAAAAUUGUUUGUGUCUGAUACUGUUGACUGCUCUCUUUGUUUAACAUAGACCACAAAGUUUAAGGUUUAAGCAAUUGAGAUUUCUUUAGGUGGUUGAUAUUUUGAUUAAAAAUAAAGACACUAAAGUUACUGACAACGGCAAAUGGUAAUUCUAGCGGAACUUAGUAAGUAUUAAGCUUCUCACUGAGACUGGCAUUCAGCUACUGCUGCCAUCUCAAGGCUGAGUGACAAACAAACUGGCAGUGGGAAUGUGACAUUAGGACCUUAACCUGCCUAGCAUAGGUAAGGGAAUGAGAGCGCCAACCUCACAAAAGCCAUAGUCUCUUUCUUAGGAUUAACUCAAGGCUAAGGAUGUUUAUUGCCCUCGUUUGUUAUUCUCCCAAAGGGUUUCUGGCUAAAUGUCACCAUUGUGCAUUCUGUCAGAUAAGCUGUGGUGUGGGUGGCCCUCCUUAGCUUUUCAGUUUUAUUUGUCUCGUGUUCUCCAUUGUUUAUUAUUUUCCUGACCACACAGACCUUUCCCUGCACGUGUAUUCUUUCUUCGUGGUGAGCUUUUCUGUAUUUAGUGUGGCUCAGUUCUCUUUGUUUUCUACCUUAAAUGUCACCUCAGAAACCAAUGUCAUGGUACAUGUCUUUAAUCCCUGCACUUGGGAGAUCAAGACCAGCCUCGUCUACAUAGUAAGUUGGGACAUCCAAUGCUACAGAGAGAGACCCUGUCUCAGAAAAAAAAAGAAAAGAAAAGAAAGAAAAGGAAAAAAAAAGAUCUAUCUCAGAGAAGGCUUCUCUGACCUUAAUAAAGGGAUUUUAUUUAUUUGCAUAUGUGCUCACAUCCUGGAAAUCAAACUCGGGUCUUCUCAUAACUAUCUUCCCAAACCCAAACACACUCAUUCAUAGCAAUUACUUCUUUAAGUAAUUGGCAGUUGUCUGCUUUUUUUGUUUGCUUGUUUUUUGUUUUGUUUUGCACCAUUAGAUUUUAAUCUAUGCUGAGAGCACAUAUUGAUUUAUAUCUACUACAUAAACCCAAUGUCUACAACAAAAAAACUGAAUUAGAAUAAAAUAGUGGAUGAAAGAAUGACAGACUACAUAAGACUCCUCACUCUUGACUUCCUCCUUAAAGUGAUUGUGCAGAGUGCUCUUAAAUAGCUAUUUCUAGGUUGAUAGUUGACUCUUUUUCUUGGGAAUUUAUUAUUUCUUCCUACCCCAUUGUCUCUGCAGACAUUCGUUCAGAAUCGUCUCACUUCCAAAUGGUACCUUUCCCUUGUUCUUUAGUGUAUUUCCAUGUCCCAUUUCCAUGUACAAAUUUCUCCUGGGACCUCAUCUCAUUCAGACAUGCAGUCAAGUAUUGUAGGCAUAUGUGUAUGCUCACUAUGCUAAAUAUUUAAAUAUUCCAAUAAACACAGAAUACAAGCUAUAUGUCUUAUUACUACAGGUUCGCUUGUAGGAAUUUCAGUCUUAAGAUAACAAGGAAAACUGUCUUUGUCCUUAUGGAACAUUUUUUUUUCUAGUUGGGAGAGAAAGACAAUAGACAAUAAAGAUAAUUAAGAUGUAUAGUAUAUUAAAAGUGGGUGACCUGUAAUGGGUUUUGUUGUCCAAGGUUCUUAUAACAAAGUUAACUUAAAAAAAAAAAAAAAAGCAACUUUUUUUUUUAAAGUGUUAAGUGGUGCUGGAGAGAUGGUUUAGUGGUUAAGAGCGCUCGCUUCUCUUAUAAGGGGCCCCAAGUCCUGAUACCAAAUUGGCUCCAUGAUAACCAAUUGCUGUGUAAGAAUAGAUAUUCUAGUGAGACUGGACAAGCUAAGAGAACUUGCUCCUCUUUCAUCAGGACCCAGGUUCAGUUCCCAGCACCACAAGGCAGCUUACAACUGUCCUUAACCCCAGUUUCAGGGGAUCUAAUGGCCUCUUUGGGUACCAGGCACAUAUAUGCGCAGACAAACACACAUAAAAUAAAAAUAAGUAAAUUAAAAAAAAAUAGACUUGGAAGGGAAGACCCAUUUAAGCUACUAUAAAUAUCUGGGUGGCCUCUGCCAGCUUUGUUCAAGGUGGUAGUAGUGGAAGCUAUAAGUAGUUAUUAUUUGUGUUUGUUUUGAUAUAGCCAACUGAAAUAUAAAGUUUUUUGGGUUUGUUUGUGAAUUUGCUAUGCUGGGGCUCAAACCAAGGACUUUGUGAAUUCUAGACAAGCACUGUACCAUGGGACUACAUUCAUGACUUCAGGAGAUCAGUUUUCUGAUUUGAUAGUUAAAGUACUUGCUAAGCUGGAUAUGUAGUAGUGCAUGCCUUUAAUCCCAGCACUUAGGAGGCAUGAUAUCUGAGUUCAAGGCUAGCCUAGCCUACACAGCAAGUUCCAAGACUACAUAGAGACCCUGACUCACUAAUAAGGAAAGGAAGGAAAGAAUGAAGAAAAAAAUAUUUGCUGUUCUUGCAGAGGACCAGUUUUUUUCCCAUCAUCCACAUGACAGCUCACAACUGUCAUAACCCCAUUUCCAGGGGUUCCCAAGCAUUUCCUGGCCUGGGGCACUGCACACAUGUGAUGCUGUUAAAUUACAUGCAAGGCAAAACACUCAUGCACAAAAAAUAUAAAA
Long non-coding RNA from Mus musculus (house mouse), 7402 nucleotides. RefSeq annotates it as predicted gene, 41949. The transcript has 2 exons. The record is from RefSeq and is a predicted model, not a curated record. NCBI's taxonomy places the organism in Eukaryota, Metazoa, Chordata, Mammalia, Rodentia, Muridae.